RNAcentral lists this long non-coding RNA (1242 nucleotides) under Oryctolagus cuniculus (rabbit). RNAcentral describes it as "lncRNA (ENSOCUG00000036771.1)". Lineage: Eukaryota; Metazoa; Chordata; Mammalia; Lagomorpha; Leporidae. The record is from RNAcentral.
AUAAGAAAAUGUAAAUAAAAUAUAAAUAUAUAAAAAAGACUUGAUAAAAUAGGCACAGGCCAUGGGGCCUCGGGCCCGCGGGGGCGCGGGGGCGCGGGGCCGGGCUGAGCGUCUGCAGUGGACCUCGGCCAGCACCCUUCCCCCACCCCGGCCCGCUGCAGCGCUUGCUCUGGGCCCCGGCCCCGGUGACCGCUGCCUGGGCUCUAGGGAGGUGGCUGGGAGGCCUGCGAGCUCUGUGCCCGUGGCUGCCUGACAUGGGCCACGCACAGCUCCGGUAGGAGCGUGGCCUGCCCCAGGGCCGUCUGGUGGCCCCCACGCUGUGUGCAGACGGUGUCUCCCACCCUGUAGCACGUCUCAUCAACUUCCUGGCGUGAAAUUCUCCCAUUUUAAUUUCUUUUAGGGAAGAAACAAAGGUUUUUUAGAUGAGAGGAGCUUAGAGGUCCUGUUGUUCUGUUGGGAAGAUGUAAGUUUAAGUCGGUGGCCCUGCCGUGCGGUGCACCUGCGGGGCCCGGCGGCCCGCGGGCUGGAGUCGGGGCCGUGGUCGUGCUGCUCCUGCGUCCUGCCAUUCUCGGUGAUGCUCGGGCCCCAGUCUGGAACUAGGAAGCCCCCCUUGGGGUGUGUCCACCCCUUACUCUGAGCUGCAGGUGCAUAGCCUGGGAGACAGCCUCCUCCGUCUGCCCGCCCACAGGCCAGGGAGCCCGAGACACUGUCCUCACCUCCGGGCCCCAGGAUUUCCUGCUCAUGGGAAGCAGGGGUGGGGCUGCCCUUCUCCGUGUGUGGGGGCCUGGAGUGGCAAGGGCCUCCUCUGGUGCUGACCAAGCCCCUGAGCUGCCUCCGUGGCCCCUGCAUCCCCUGCCCACCAGCUGUAUCCCACCUGUGAGGGGCAGGGAGUGGCCGGCUGUCUGGGUGGGGCUGCCCAGGGCCUCUGCAGGUGGAGCGGGGCAGGGCACGAGGCGUGUGCAGCGUCCACCCUGCCUGGUGUCAGACGGGCACCUCUGUGGCCGUGACCCCCUAAGGUGUGAGCUCUGGACGCUGAGUGCAGGGACGGUGGGCGCUCCCCUGCUGGAGUCCUGGGGGUCUGUUCAGUGCACCUCUGCCCAGAUGGAUACUGAGAGCCCGGGUGUGCGACAGUCCUGCUGGGGUGGACGGAGGAGCGGGCAAAGAGGACACAGCCCCUGCUCCCCCGGCUCCUGCUCCAGUGGGGGCAGAACACCAGCUCCAUUAGGCAUGAGAAUCCGGCGG